Molecule: ribosomal RNA, 1504 nt
Filed under: metagenome
Description: bacterial SSU rRNA
Rfam family: Bacterial small subunit ribosomal RNA
Source: RNAcentral
AGAGUUUGAUUCUGGCUCAGAACGAACGCUGGCGGCGUGGAUAAGACAUGCAAGUCGAACGAUUACCAUCGGGUAGCAAUAUUCGGUGGUGAGAGUGGCGCAAGGGUGCGUAACACGUGGGUAAUUUGCCGUAAAGUCUGGAAUAACUUGCUGAAAGGCGAGCUAAUACCGGAUGUGAUUGCUGGGGGGCAUCCUCUGGCACUUAAAGUCGGGGAUCGUAAGACCUGACACUUUUCGAUAAGCCCGCGGCCUAUCAGCUAGUUGGUGAGGUAACGGCUCACCAAGGCUAAGACGGGUAGCUGGUCUGAGAGGACGACCAGCCUCACUGGAACUGAGACACGGUCCAGACACCUACGGGUGGCAGCAGUCGAGAAUUUUUCUCAAUGGGGGAAACCCUGAAGGAGCGACGCCGCGUGGGGGAUGAAUGGCUUCGGCCCGUAAACCCCUGUCAUUUGCGAUCAAACCUUACGACCUAACACGUCGUAAGCUGAUAGUAGCGGAAGAGGAAGGGACGGCUAACUCUGUGCCAGCAGCCUGUAAUACAGAGGUCCCAAGCGUUGUUCGGAUUCACUGGGCGUAAAGGGUGCGUAGGCGGUCGGGUAAGUCUGACGUGAAAUCUUCAAGCUCAACUUGGAAACUGCGUCGGAUACUAUUCGGCUAGAGGAAUGGAGGGGAGACUGGAAUACUUGGUGUAGCAGUGAAAUGCGUAGAUAUCAAGUGGAACACCAGUGGCGAAGGCGAGUCUCUGGACAUUUCCUGACGCUGAGGCACGAAAGCCAGGGGAGCAAACGGGAUUAGAUACCCCGGUAGUCCUGGCCCUAAACGGUGCACGUUUGCUGUAAGAGGAAUCGACCCCUUUUGUGGCGAAGCUAACGCGUUAAACGUGCCGCCUGGGAAGUACGGCCGCAAGGUUAAAACUCAAAGAAAUUGACGGGGGCCUGCACAAGCGGUGGAGUAUGUGGCUUAAUUCGACGCGAAGAACCUUACCUGGCCUUGACAUGCACAUAGUAGGAGCCUGAAAGGGUGACGAGGUAGCAAUACCAGUGUGCACAGGUGCUGCAUGGCUGUCGUCAGCUCGUGUCGUGAGAUGUUGGGUUAAGUCCCGCAACGAGCGCAACCCCUGUGUCCUGUUGCCACCCCUUAACUGGGAGCACUCUGGACAGACUGCCUCGCUUCAACGAGGAGGAAGGUGGGGAUGACGUCAAGUCAGUAUGGCCCUUACGGCCAGGGCUGCACACGUACUACAAUGCCCGGCACAAAGGGAAGCAAGACCGUCAGGUGGAGCAAAUCCCAGAAAACCGGGCCCAGUUCAGAUUGUCGUCUGCAACUCGACGGCAUGAAGCUGGAAUCGCUAGUAAUGGCGCAUCAGCUACGGCGCCGUGAAUACGUUCCCAGGCCUUGUACACACCGCCCGUCACAUCAUGAAAGCCGGUUGUACCCGAAGUCGCCCCUUAAAAGGUGCCGAAGGUAUGGCUGGUGAUUGGGAUGAAGUCGGAACAAGGUA